CCAAAGAAUAAAGCUCAAGUUUUAGCAAUAGUCACUAGGAGUGGGAAGACACUUGGUGAUCACUUGAAAGAAGAUUUUGGUAAAAAUAUGCCUAAGGUUAAGUCAAAAGAAGUGCAACCACAAUCUCAAGAAGAUGAAGAUGAAAAGGAAUCAGUGGAAGUUGAUGAAGAGGUGGUGGAAAAUGUGAAACCACAAAUUUAUGUGAUGCCUAUAAUACAAGUCCCUCCUUCAUUU
This 234-nucleotide long non-coding RNA is filed under the name Capsicum annuum. Its description in RNAcentral is "long non-coding RNA (CANN_LNC012572)". Lineage: Eukaryota; Viridiplantae; Streptophyta; Magnoliopsida; Solanales; Solanaceae. The record is from RNAcentral.